Molecule: ribosomal RNA, 254 nt
Filed under: uncultured bacterium
Lineage: Bacteria
Description: partial 16S ribosomal RNA
Rfam family: Bacterial small subunit ribosomal RNA
Source: RNAcentral
UACGUAGGGCGCAAGCGUUGUCCGGAAUUAUUGGGCGUAAAGAGCUCGUAGGCGGUUCAGUAAGUCAGGUGUGAAAUCUUUGGGCUUAACCCAAAGCGUGCAUUUGAUACUGCUGUGACUUGAGUUCGGUAGGGGAGUGGGGAAUUCCUAGUGUAGCGGUGAAAUGCGCAGAUAUUAGGAGGAACACCGGUGGCGAAGGCGCCACUCUGGGCCGAAACUGACGCUGAGGAGCGAAAGCGUGGGUAGCAAACAGG